UGGAUCAAACCAAUCAAUAACAAUUAUAUCAAUACUAAGAGAUUAAGCCAUCUUACCAUUUCUCCAAAGCCAUAACCAACAUUACUCAAUUCCCUACUAAUUCAACAUUAUUCAUAAAGUAGGUCAACUUACCAUCCUUUCCAAGCCACCUUCACCAUUCUCAUGAUCAAACAAAUCACAGUAGAAAGCAUAGGUAAUGAUGCUAUUCAACUAUACCAUUUAAGCUAAGCAUAAGC
Molecule: long non-coding RNA, 236 nt
Filed under: Solanum tuberosum (potato)
Lineage: Eukaryota; Viridiplantae; Streptophyta; Magnoliopsida; Solanales; Solanaceae
Description: long non-coding RNA (STUB_LNC002554)
Source: RNAcentral